Molecule: long non-coding RNA, 3874 nt
Organism: Alligator mississippiensis (American alligator)
Lineage: Eukaryota; Metazoa; Chordata; Crocodylia; Alligatoridae
Exons: 3
Source: RefSeq, a predicted model, not a curated record
UGGCAGUUCUCUGCUGGUGGCCAAGGGAGAAGGAGUCCUCCUAGAACAAGUGAAGGGAAGAAGCCUGACUAAGUUCUGCUCCGGGGAGACAGUACCAUAAGGCUGGAGCUUUGGAACAGGGCAUGCUUAAACAACUGGACUGUCUACUAGAAGUCAUCACUGCUUAUGGGUACCUUGGGCAUCUGGACCAUGAAGAUCCAUUUCCAUCAAAGGACAACUGACAGCUUGAGUUUAGGAAGUAUGCCCAAGAGAUCAAGGGUUCCGUACACACUUUCCUUGAUGGAAGAAUGUUCACCACAAUGCAGGACAGAAGAAGACGUUUACUGACAUGAAAAAUACUUGACAGAAAAAUCGGGGCUCCACCAUCCCCUGCACCCCAGCCUCAUGCCACCUGACACCCAGGAUUCCUUUCAGGGUGUUAAUGAAAAAUAAAACAGUCAUAAAAAAGAACUAAGCAAACAAAAUAAAGUCCAGUCCAGACCAAAAUAUAAACACACAAAAUAAAGUCCUGCUUUAACCGCUGCCCGUGGCUCUUCUUCGGUUUAAACAAUGUAGCCCAGGUACACCCAAGGAUGUGCCCUGAUCCCAAUCACAACAGAGUGGUGGAGAUGAGGAUGCUGUGGGAUGGAUCAUCAUCACUGAUGCACGGCUCCUUCCUUCCUCCAUAGAGUUAGGCUCUAGACAGGCUCUUCACUAUUUACAAAAUUUAUUAACAUAUAAUAUAUAUAAACAUAAAACUAAAUAUCAUAUACAUAUAUUUACACAAUGACCAAUAACCAAGGUCAAACCCUACAUAACACUGUGAGAAAAUCACUCCCAAUCACAAUCUCCAGGGAAAACAAUAUAUACACAAUAAACCCACAGCUUCCCCACCCUACAUUGGGGAACCCAUACUCAAUUAAGGGUUACAUCAAGUAUAACAGAGGAAAUGCAACUUUAUUCCUACAAAGGAACAGUCCCUCUUUCAUCAAUGCAGGAAGAUAAGCAUCAAAUGGACCCCAACCCAGUUAGGGGACCUAACAAUCAAAGAAACCAACAGGGUGCUUUUCAGAAAUUACUGUAUCCUAUGAUAACACUCUUUACCCAUCACAGUAAAGCAAUUUCAGCAGCAUCAACACAAUACAACAGUUCAAUUACAAAAUAUAAGGUGCAGACAUAAAUAAUCUUAAUAACAUCUAUUUCUUAAUAUAGUCCCUGACCCAUGGCAGGAGAUAGUCUUUCUUUCAAUGGGGUCCCAUGAGAGUGGGGAAGGACUGCUCAACCAGCCCCUUCUCUGGGGUUUGUCUGUCCAAAAUGUUUUCCCCUGUGGAACCCACUGACUCACAUUUCCUCAAGUGGUGGUGGUCAGGAAGCAGCUUGAUGGGGUCUCCUCUGCAUCGCCGCUGGAGUGCCUCUUCAGUCCUCUCCCAUGCCGCUGGACUCCUACCCAUCCUGUGUCCCACUCUGGGCACCAAGGGCUUGGCUCCUCUCAACUGCUGUACCACCGCUGAUGGUUCCUGGGUGCUGGGCCUCAUGCCCAGCACUACUAUUUUCCAGUGCCCUGGCUUUGGCACUGAGGGCUCUUUUAGCAAAGACUGGGCCCUUCAGGCUCUGGCCAUCUGCCCUCAUGCCGGGUGACUAACCCAAGCAGCCUCUGCUGCUCCCUGGCUCCACUUCCCCAUGCGCUGCCCUGUGCACCAUGGGACCCAGCUGCUUGCCAGGAGAUGGGGCCUGAGCUGCUUCACCAUGGCUCCCAAGGCCCUUGGCCCAAUACACCACCCUGCACACUGGGUGGCCUGCUGUCCCUCUGUGGUUGUAGGCUCAAGCCACCACUUGCAGCUUCCCAGAGCCUAGGUUCUGCACACUAGGCAUCACGUGCACCGUGAUGCCCAGCCACCCACUGGAGUUCCAGGCUUGAACCGCCACUUGUGGCUCCCAAAGCCUGGGUUCCAUCUGCUGAACUGCACACCAAAAUGGGCCUGAGUGGUCUCACACCAAUCCCAGGGCAGGGUCUCUGUGCACCGUCCCUGUGCGCCAUCAACAGCCUGAGCAGUCUCACACUGCUCCCAAGGCUGUUCCUCCAGUAGCAGCUUCAGGAGCCUUGGGUCUAUUGCCUUCUGGGGGAGAGCUGCCCAGCUUUUCUCACUCCACUAUUCUUAAGCCCCUCACCACCUCUUCCUUCAUGCCAGGCAUGAUGCUCUUUACAUAUUCUUCAGGGCUCUGCCCCUGAAGUCUUCUGGACCUGACAGUGUUGCAGUCUACAAUCAGGUCCAUGGAGCUCCUCUUCCCCUCCCCUCCCCUUAGGAAAGGGGCAUGGGUUCACGCCUCUUGCUGUCUCCUGAUGGGUGAAUAGGCUCCACCAAUCAAACAGCAGACUCUCAAGCCUGGGACUCAACCCAAGCUCGGGAAGGUAAGCCUGCUACACCAAUAUUGCUAUUUUUACCCCUGAGUCCCAGUUAUUACCACUGGGCUGCCACUCUUUCUGGUGUGUCUCUUACUCAACUGUGGGGUUCUUCUCAGUUGCUAGCCACAGGCUCAUCCUUCUUUCAUCCCCCUGCUCCCUGGGACUCUUCCACAGCCUGUUUCCCAGUUGUUCUCCGCAUUUUUCCCUUCCAGGGUGUGUCCGUUCCCUCCUCUCUCUCCUAGGCUCUAAUGUCUGUCUCCCCGCCUCUGCUGGCCACUCCCCCUGGAUGUUUUGCCCCUUGCUGCUCCUCCCAGUGCCCCUCACUAGCUCAAGGCUGCUAGAUUUGCUCCCCAGCAUGGGGCUUCUCCCUGUCUCUUCUGGCCACACCCUCUGGGUGUUUCCCCCUUUGCUGUUCCUCCUGGUAUCUCUCCCCAGCUCGGGGCUUCUCCCCAUGUUGCUCCUUGGCUUGGGGCUGCUUCAUCCAAAGCUGGCAUUCACUCUGGGACUGCCCCCUUCUUUCUUUUGUCUCCUGGCAUUUCUUGGCAAGCCCUGUGGGAAAAACAGUCUCCUGCCAUGGCUCACUUUCACAGAUGAGUAGGUUGAACCAAUAAGCAGUGAACAAGCAUUCACUUUUGAUUCCGGAAAUGCAGCCACAUGCCUGCACUGGCUCAGGCCAGAAGCUGGGAGUACUAGAGCAUGCCUCCCUGCUCUGCUGCAGCAGACAGCUUGGGACAAGGUUAACCCACCCACUGUGUGACGCAGGGGGGUGGGGUUUGCAGGAGAGGUGCAAAGUAUCCUGGGAUGCUGGGAACUGUGAAUUAACUUGAAUCUGGAGGGGAUCUGGGACAGAAGUUCAAUAAACCAAUUUAACCUAAAUCAGUGAAGUUUGAUACUACAUCCAUCCAUAUACUCAGUUUUGAUCAUUUUGAAAGCAGUUUAUGUGUACUGAACUUCUGUUGUGUUACAGAUUUGAACCAGCUUUUGAUCACUUAUACUAGUUUAUGUGUAAUUUCUGUCCCUAACCUGUGUAUCUGCAUGCUACCACACAUGUCUGGGGAGGAACUGUGCAACUCUGAAGUCCUAACUUGUUAAAUUAUCCAAUCAAAACUGAUUUUAAAAUUGGCAGCAAAAGACACUUCAGAAUAAUGUAAGUCUUAUUUAUUAUACUUUUUGUAUGAUAUAUAUUGUGAGUUGAGCUGCCUUUUUGAUGGCACUCAGUGUGGGGAAACAGGGAGCUUGUCAUAAAUUUCCUUAUGUGUCAGGUCAUGUUUUUGCCCUUUGGAAAGCAUUAUUCCACCUUUUGUGUAGUUCUAAUUCAGUUUUUUAUCCUUGACCAUAAAAUGUCCACGGAUGAGAGAGAGUAUAUAUAUAUCUGCCAAAUAGAUCUCUAACAAUGGCACAAAAUUCAGGGAGAUAAUUGUCUUCCUUCUUGGCUUGAAAGGUUCAGAAGUAUUUUGACACUGACACAAUAGAGUAAGACUGUUAAAUAGA